UAAUUAGUUGGUUCAGUUGUGUUUGAUCAGGGUUGGAGCUGAACUCUGCAGGAAGGUAGAUCUCCAGGAACAGUUUUGGGCACCCCUGAUAUAGACACACGUCCUCUUCCAGGCAGAUUUUUAACAUCUUUAGUUGAUAGGAACCUCUUAAUUAUUACCCUGAUGGUGGAAAUGGGGAUUUUCAAUGCUUGCUCUUUUCAAUCUAGGAGAAAAGCAGCCUAAUUUCCUGGGAAAAGCAAAGCCGAAUUCUGUUCCCUGAUUGGACGCACCGCUGGUUUUUCAUAUGAGAGUCACGCGUAAACAUACUCGCACGCAUAUACAGAGAGUACACAGUAUGCCCAUGCAACCUCAACUCUCUCUCUCUCUUAGAAACCGGUCUCAGAAGAAGAACUUUUGACAUUGCUGAGUGCUACGGCUUAACGUGGAGUUCAGAGGCUGGUUUGCACAACAAACAGAUGUUCUUUGAUGUCAGCUGCAGUGAGGGGGAGGCAAAAAAUGGGAACGCUAAAAAGAAGUAGGAGGAAGGUGUCAGAACUCUAAUCGCCAUGCAGCGCGCAGAAAGACAUCUAUUGUAUCUCUUAGCACAAACACUGGCUUUGAGUCACAGUUACAACGCUGGCUCGCUGAUCCAGAGAAGCUAAAUUACACAGGCUGUCAGCCAAACCAACGUACAGCUCCGUUCGGGCACGUAAUAAAUUAUGUAAAAGAACCUAACAGCAAGAAAAUGACCGUGCCAUUUGCUGUCACUUCAGACAAUUUGUAUUAUGACAUUUCACGAACGCUUGGCCAAUUACACUGGAUAGAUCGAUUGCAUAAACUAAAUAAUAGUUUCUCCACUCCAGCUAUGUGAUUUAGUUAUUCAUUAAACCACCCACAUCACAAGUGCAAAAUACAGCUCAGGACAUGUACUCCAUGAACAGCUCAUUUAGGUUAGUGUGUGUGUCAGCACGGUGUAUAAGUUAUAGACCCGCGUGCCUACAAAACCUGUAGCAUUUUCCAAAACAACUACGUUUACAUAACAUGUCACAAUUUAUUUCCACUGCAG
Long non-coding RNA from Onychostoma macrolepis, 1045 nucleotides. RefSeq lists it as uncharacterized. The transcript is spliced from 3 exons. NCBI's taxonomy places the organism in Eukaryota, Metazoa, Chordata, Actinopteri, Cypriniformes, Cyprinidae. The record is from RefSeq and is a predicted model, not a curated record.